GUAACGGGGAGUGAAGCGGGAAGAGCUCGGAUUGUAAAUCCUUCGGGAGUUGUAAUCAGGUGCGCCUAACUGGAGUGCUGGGUAACUGCGCGUGAACCGCGGUCAGAGAGGGUGAUAACCCCGUCCCCCAGCGCCGAAGGACCGGCACCCUGUCACGAGUCGAGUUGCUUGGGAAUGCAGCUCUAAGCGGGUGGUAAAUUCCAUCUAAGGCUAAAUAUUAGUAGGAGACCGAUAGCGAACAAGUACUGUGAAGGAAAGAUGAAAAGGGCUUUGAAAAG
This 278-nucleotide ribosomal RNA is filed under the name uncultured eukaryote. RNAcentral describes it as "partial Eukaryotic large subunit ribosomal RNA". It matches the Rfam family "Eukaryotic large subunit ribosomal RNA", at positions 83 to 383 of the family's 3401-position model. The record is from RNAcentral.